Molecule: long non-coding RNA, 477 nt
Organism: Aquila chrysaetos chrysaetos
Lineage: Eukaryota; Metazoa; Chordata; Aves; Accipitriformes; Accipitridae
Exons: 2
Source: RefSeq, a predicted model, not a curated record
GGAGAAGGGAGCUGAGAGUUGGUACGCUUGGAAUAACGCUACACAGAGCGGAGAAGAGCAGCAUUUCGUUCUCAUUUGCAGAGAGUCACUUCAGCAUCAGAGCUGGAUAAGGCUGUCUCAGAGCCUGUCCUGCCUGAAGCCAUAUGCCAAGCUUGCCAGCCUUCAAGUCCAGCAGAGCUAACCCUGGCCCCUGGGUGUCCGAUACAGGAGCAAUGUCCACCGUGCCUCCAGCAGCCGCAUCGCCUGUACCGGCAAGAAGCCCCCUCCAUACCUCUGCUGCAAGCUGUGUCCCAAAAACCUCAGCCCCAUCUCCCCCCUUGAUUUUUUUGUAUGAGUACGAACUCAGAGCUAAAUCAAUCGAUUCCCAGCUUUCUGUACCGGGCCGCUUACCAUGCCCUGCUUUCCUUUGAGCUUUCCCUGCUCUGAAAAAAGAAGUCGGACUAAUCUAUAACGAUAUUUUGGAUGCUGUGUUUGGCA